RNAcentral lists this ribosomal RNA (238 nucleotides) under uncultured bacterium. RNAcentral describes it as "partial 16S ribosomal RNA". It matches the Rfam family "Bacterial small subunit ribosomal RNA", at positions 96 to 334 of the family's 1533-position model. The record is from RNAcentral.
CGGCGGACGGGUGAGUAACGCGUGGGUAACCUACCCUGUACACACGGAUAACAUACCGAAAGGUAUGCUAAUACGGGAUAAUAUAUUUGAGAGGCAUCUCUUAAAUAUCAAAGGUGAGCCAGUACAGGAUGGACCCGCGUCUGAUUAGCUAGUUGGUAAGGUAACGGCUUACCAUGGCGACGAUCAGUAGCCGACCUGAGAGGGUGAUCGGCCACAUUGGAACUGAGACACGGUCCAA